RNAcentral lists this ribosomal RNA (232 nucleotides) under uncultured bacterium. Its description in RNAcentral is "partial 16S ribosomal RNA". It matches the Rfam family "Bacterial small subunit ribosomal RNA", at positions 118 to 347 of the family's 1533-position model. The record is from RNAcentral.
UGAGCAAUCUGCCCUUCUCUUCGGAAUAAGCGUUGGAAACGACGUCUAAUGCCGAAUACGACCUCCUUUCGCAUGAUCGGAGGUGGAAAGCUCCGGCGGAGAAGGAUGAGCUCGCAGCCUAUCAGCUAGUUGGUGUGGGUAAUGGCCCACCAAGGCGACGACGGGUAGCCGGCCUGAGAGGGUGACCGGCCACACUGGGACUGAGACACGGCCCAGACUCCUACGGGAGCAG